GACGGAGGAUGCAAGCGUUAUCCGGAAUUAUUGGGCGUAAAGCGUCCGCAGGUGGACAUACAAGUCUGCUGUCAAAGUGCAGAGCUUAACUCUGUAAAGGCGGUGGAAACUGUAGGUCUUGAGUAUGGUAGGGGUAGAGGGGAUUCCCGGUGUAGCGGUGAAAUGCGUAGAUAUCGGGAAGAACACCAGUGGCGAAAGCGCUCUACUGGGCCAUAACUGACACUGAGGGACGAAAGCUAGGGGAGCGAAAGGG
Molecule: ribosomal RNA, 253 nt
Filed under: uncultured bacterium
Lineage: Bacteria
Description: partial 16S ribosomal RNA
Rfam family: Bacterial small subunit ribosomal RNA
Source: RNAcentral